UGAAUCUAGGGGCGGGUCGCUCGGGUAAUACGUAGGGGGGUGGGUGUGGCCGGAUUUUUUGGCGGGAAAGAGCGGGUUGGCGGUGUGACAGGUCUGUGUUGAAAACUCGAGGCUCAACCUCGGGCUGUCGGUGGAAACCGUGUGGCUAGAGUCCGGAAGAGGAGAGCGGAAUUCCCGGUGUAGCGGUGAAAUGCGCAGAUAUCGGGAAGAACACCCGUGGCGAAGGCGGCUCUCUGGGACGGUACUGACGCUGAGACGCGAAAGCGUGGGGAGCAAACAGGAUUAGAUACCCUGGUAGUC
Molecule: ribosomal RNA, 300 nt
Filed under: uncultured Bacillus sp.
Lineage: Bacteria; Bacillati; Bacillota; Bacilli; Caryophanales; Bacillaceae
Description: bacterial SSU rRNA
Rfam family: Bacterial small subunit ribosomal RNA
Source: RNAcentral